RNAcentral lists this long non-coding RNA (4791 nucleotides) under Scophthalmus maximus (turbot). Its description in RNAcentral is "lncRNA (ENSSMAG00000021985.1)". Lineage: Eukaryota; Metazoa; Chordata; Actinopteri; Pleuronectiformes; Scophthalmidae. The record is from RNAcentral.
AUGUAUUUGACAACAGAUGAAUAAAUGGCACAUUGUGAGGAAUUCAGUGUGUUUACAGAAAAAGUUGAAAUAUGUUUUCUGUCUUCUCAUUGCCUCUUACUAGGUUUUGGAGGCCGUGGUGUUCUCCCUGAAGUGGCCACAGGAUCUGGACUUGGGCCUCAGACUGGGGCAGGAGUACUCGGCCAAGGUGGAGCUGGACCAGGAGGAGCAGGAAAUGGCCGUGGACAGCAAUUGCCAGGGGUUUUCCGUGGUUACCCUCUCAUAUCACCAAAAUCAGGGAGUGGCAAAACAAAGAAUCCAGCCAAAGCUGCAGCUAAAUAUGGUGGAGCUGGAGCUGGAGGAGGAACGCUUGGUCAAGGAAGCGCUUUGGGGGGUGGGGCUGGAAGACUCCCUGGAGGAGGGGCAGGAAUCACACCUGGAUUAGGAGGCGGAGUUGGAACAGGAGGUGGACCUGGAGGAGCCAUACCUGGUUUAGGUUAUGGUCCUGGCUCAGCCAAAGCACGUAAAUAUGGUCAGACAGGCCUUGGAGGAGGAGGACCAGGUGGAGGACUGGGGCCUGGCUCAGGCAUUGGGACAGGUGUAGCAGGGGGCGGCUAUGGUUAUGGUCCAGGCAGUGCAGGCACAGGCUCAGCUGGAGGCCUUGGAGGCGGAGGACCAGGAGGAGGAGUUGGCCUCGGCACAGGUGUGGCACCUGGCUCUGGGGUCGGUUUUGGUCCAGGCGGUGCCGGCACUGGGUCAGGUGGCCUUGGUCCUGGUGGUGCUGGUACUGGGUCAGGUGGCCUUGGUCCUGGUGGUGCUGGUGGUGCUGGUACUGGCCCUGGAGGAGCUGGUUACGGGCCUGGUAGAACUGGGUAUGGACCAGGUGGCACUGGAGCUGGAUUGGGAGGAGCCGGAACAGGACCUGGAGGGUAUGACGCGAGUGCCAAAGCUCGUAAAUAUGGCAUGCUAAGUGGAGCACUUGGAGGUUUAGGCACUGGUGGAGUCAGGCCUGGAGGUACUGGCACUGGUUAUGGACCAGGUGGUGCUGGCUAUGGACCCGGCGGUGCUGGAACAGGCUAUGGACAAGGUGGUGUCGGACCUGGAGGUGCUGCUACAGGCUAUGGACAAGGUGGUGUCGGACCUGGUGGUGCUGGUGCAGGUAAUGGACAAGGAGGUGUCAGACCUGGUGGUGCUGGAACAGGCUAUGGACAAGGUGGUGUCGGACCUGGCGGUGCUGGUACCGGUUAUGGACCAGGUGGUGCUAGUACUGGUUAUGGACCAGGUGGUGCUGGAACAGGUUAUGGACAAGGUGGAGUUGGACCUGUUGGUGCUGGAUAUGGACCUGGUGGAGGAGUUGGACCUGGUGGUGCUGGCUAUGGACCUGGAGGUUAUGCUGGUGCCAAAGCUCGUAAAUAUGGUCUGCCUGGAGGAGUUGGAGGAGCCCUGGGUGCAGGAGGACUUGGUGGUGGAGUCGGGCCUGGUUCUGGGCUCGGAGUAGGAGGAGGGGUCCCGGGAAGAGGUGUUGGACUAACAACUGGUGGUGGACCUGGAGCAGGACUGGGGACCGGUGCGAUACCUGGGUCAGGUGUUGGAACGGGUGGUGGACCUGGUGGCUUUGGACUAGGUAGUGCUGGAGGAUAUCCGGGGGGAGCCAAGUCUCUCAAAUACGGGCUUCCUGGUGGUGGUGGAGCCCCAGGAUCUGGUCUGAACGUAAUAUUUGGUGGCCCAGCAGCAGGAGGAGGAUAUGGCCCUGGGACCGGAGGAGCACUCGGAACUGGAAGAGCAGGAUAUGGACCUGGUGGAUAUGGACCUGGCGGAUAUGGGCCUGUGCCUGGUGCUGGUUACGGACCAGGGGGAGGCUAUGGUGCAGUACCAGGAGCUGGAUAUGGAACAGGCUAUGGAGCUGGAUCAAAAGCUGCUAAAUAUGGUCAAGCUGGAACCACUGGUGGGGUACUUGGAGGUGGAGUGGGACGAGAGGGCCAACCUGGUGGUGUUGCACCUGGGGCAGGAGCCGGGACAGGCACUGGAGGAGCAGGGGCAGGAUCAGGGACCGGCACUGGAGGUGCAGGUGCAGGGACCAGCACUGGAGGAGCAGGUGCAGGGACCGGGACAGGUACUGGAGGAGCAGGUGCAGGGACCGGCACUGGUGUUGGUACAGUGAAUGGAACCAGCACUGGCAGGGGUGCAGUGACGACAGCUGGACCCACUGGGGGAGGACUUGGCAGCGCAGGAGGCACACCAGCUCCAGCAUCAGAAGGAGGUGCAGGUGUAGCCGGCAGACCAGUGGGAGCAGGUGCUGAUGGAGACGGCCUGAGUGGAACAGGGAUCCCCAUCAUUGCAGCAAAACCAGGAGUCAAUGGGACCGAAGUUCCAGGUUCUAGUGAAGAUGUCUCAGGUGGUUCACUGCCUGGAGCUAAACCUCUCAAACCCCCAGGUGUCCCCAGAGGUGACACACCCGGUGAAGGAGAUGGAGAGGAAGGCCCCGAUGGCGAGAGAGACGGUACAACAGGCACUGGCGGAGAACCGGGAGGAGUAGGAGGGGGUCAAACCAUGGCAGGAGGAGCGAGUGGAGUUUCAGGUGGUGCAACAGGUGGGGGGAGAGGAGACAGUCCUGCAACUGGAACUGGAGUUGGAGCACAGAGUGCAACUGGUGGAGUAGGAGGAACACCAAAACCAUCCAUAGGUGGAGUCGGUGGGGUAGCAGGAGGAGUUGGAGGUGGUCCUGGGGGCGUUGGAGCCGGUACUGGUGGAGUUGGAGGUGGUCCUGGGGGCGUUGGAACUAGUCCUGGAGGAGUUGGAGGUGGUCCUGGGGGCGUUGGAACUGGUCAUGGAGGAGUUGGAGGUGGUCCUGGGGGUGCUGGUGGUCUUGGAGGAGUUGGAGGAGGUCCUGGAGGAGCAGGCUUGGCACCUGGGGCUGGUGGGCCUGGUGGAUUAGGAACAGGAGCACUUAAACCUGGAAAAAGCUAUGGUGCUGGUGGAGCUGGAGUUUUACCAGGUGGAGGUAUACGUUAUCCAACUGGAGCUGGAGUAGGACAAGGAAAACCAGGCAAAGUGUAUGGAACUCUGGGAGCACAAGGCCAGGGUGGAGUUGGACCUGGCAGUUAUGGAGUUGGUCCUGGUGGCUAUGGUACUGGCCCAGGAGGUUACGGGGCCGGCCCAGGUGGCUAUGGCGCUGGGCAUGGUGGAUAUGGAGCCGGACCUGGAGGCUAUGGAGGCAGAGGCGUUGGUGGUGGUCCUGGGGGUGCUGGAACACUUGGGACUGGAGGUGUAGGAGUGGGCCCCGGUGGAGUCGGUGGUGGAAUGGGGGGAUAUGGCGGUGGUGUGGGUCCAGGUGGUUCAAGAUAUGGCACAGGUCCAGGUCUGGGUACUGGCACCGGGAAAUCACCAAAAAGAGCUGGUGGUACUCGAGUUGGGCCUGGUGGCUAUGGGACUGGACCAGGUGGAAUUGGUUCUGCUCAAGGAGGAUUUGGACCUGGAGGUUUGGUGCCUGGCGGUUCUGGAAGUUAUGGACCUGGUGGCUCUGGACCAGGUGGAUAUGGGGAUGGCUCUGCCGGGACAGGACUGGGUGGUGUAGGAACCAGGCCAGGUGGUUAUGGAGCAGGUGGUGUUGGCACAGGACCAGGCAGCUAUGGACCAGGUGUUUACACUCCGGGAGGUCAAGGACUGGGGGCAAGAAAGCCGCCCAAAUCAGGCUAUGGAUCAUCCUCACUGGGUGGAGCUCAGGGGGCUUUACCUGGAGGAGCAGGUACAGGACCAGGCAGAUAUGGGCCUGGUGGUGCUGGUACAGGAACAGGAGGCUUCGGACCGGGUGGUGCUGGCACAGGAAGCUAUGGACCAGGUGGGGCUGGAACAGGAAGCUAUGGACCAGGUGGCGCUGGCACAGGAAGCUAUGGACCAGGUGGCGCUGGUACAGGAACAGGAGGCUAUGGACCAGGUGGUGCUGGCACGGGAACAGGAAGCUAUGGACCAGGUGGCGCUGGCACAGGAACAGGAAGCUAUGGACCAGGUGGCGCUGGUACAGGAACAGGAAGCUAUGGACCAGGUGGCGCUGGCACGGGAACAGGUGGUUUUGGACCUGGUGGUGCUGGCAGAGGAACAGGAGGCUUCGGACCGGGUGGUGCUGGUGCAGGCAGCUUUGGAACAGGGGGGCAAGGAUUAGGAAAAAGAAAACCAUCUAAAUCUGGUUACGGAGGAGCAGGGUAUGGAUCAGCAGGAGGAUUAGGAGGAGGAGCUGGUCCUGGUGGAGUUGGAGCUGGACCUGGAGGCUAUGGCCCCGGAGGAUACGGCCCAGCUGGAACUGGAUCAGGCCCUUUUGGUUUUGGGCCUGGUGGUGCUGGAACUGGUGGCUAUGGCCAAGGAGCUGGUACUGGGCCAGGGGGUUUUGGACCUGGUGGGGCUGGUGGAUAUGGGCCUGGUGGACAAGGACUUGGGACAAGGAAGCCUUCUAAAUCAGGUUAUGGCUCAUCGUUGGGUGGAACUGGUUAUGGACCAGGUGGUGGGGCAGGAGGGCUUCCUGGUGCUGGAACAGGAGGCAUCCCUGGAGGAAGCACAGGCAGUGUAGCAGAAAGAACAGGGGCAGGAGGUGCUGCAGGAACAGGCCAGGGAGCUGGAGGAUUGGGCGUCUUACCAGGCGGUGUUGGCCCUGGCUAUGGUGGGACAACAGGUGGAAGCUAUCCAGGAUAUGCGGGCGCCGGGCAAAAAUCCAAGGCACAGAAAGCAGCCAAAUAUGCUGCCCUGCAGGCUUUACUGGGAGCUGGAGGCUACAGAGGUGCUGGCUGUCAGGGCAAAUACUGUGGCCGAAGGAGGAAGUGA